Molecule: ribosomal RNA, 519 nt
Filed under: uncultured bacterium
Lineage: Bacteria
Description: bacterial SSU rRNA
Rfam family: Bacterial small subunit ribosomal RNA
Source: RNAcentral
GACGAACGCUGGCGGCGUGCUUAACACAUGCAAGUCACGGGGGCCCGCAAGGGCAACCGGCGAACGGGUGCGUAACACGUGAGCAAGCUUCCGAUUUGUGGGGGAUAGCCGGCCUAACGGCCGGGUAAUACCGCAUACGUUCACCGGACGGCAUCGUCUGGUGAGGAAACCUCCGGGGCAAAUCGAGGCGCUCGCGGCCUAUCAGCUAGUUGGCGGGGUAACGGCCCACCAAGGCGACGACGGGUAGCUGGUCUGAGAGGAUGGCCAGCCACAUUGGGACUGCGACACGGCCCAGACUCCUACGGGAGGCAGCAGUGGGGAAUAUUGCGCAAUGGACGAAAGUCUGACGCAGCGACGCCGCGUGUGGGAUGACGCCUUUCGGGGUGUAAACCACUGUUGCCCGGGACGAAACUCCUUUUUCGAGAGGAUUGACGGUACCCGGUGAGGAAGCACCGGCUAACUCUGUGCCAGCAGCCGCGGUAAUACAGAGGGUGCGAGCGUUGUCCGGAAUCACUGGAC